Molecule: ribosomal RNA, 468 nt
Filed under: uncultured bacterium
Lineage: Bacteria
Description: partial 16S ribosomal RNA
Rfam family: Bacterial small subunit ribosomal RNA
Source: RNAcentral
GACGAACGCUGGCGGCGUGCUUAACACAUGCAAGUCGAACGGAAAGGCCCUGCUUUGGUGGGGUGCUCGAGUGGCGAACGGGUGAGUAACACGUGAGUAACCUGCCCUUGACUUUGGGAUAACUGCAGGAAACUGGGGCAAAUACCGGAUAGGAGCUCCUGCUGCAUGGUGGGGGUUGGAAAGUUUCGGCGGUUGGGGAUGGACUCGCGGCUUAUCAGCUUGUUGGUGGGGUAGUGGCUUACCAAGGCUUUGACGGGUAGCCGGCCUGAGAGGGUGACCGGCCACAUUGGGACUGAGACACGGCCCAGACUCCUACGGGAGGCAGCAGUGGGGAAUAUUGCACAAUGGGCGGAAGCCUGAUGCAGCAACGCCGCGUGCGGGAUGACGGCCUUCGGGUUGUAAACCGCUUUCGCCUGUGACGAAGCGUGAGUGACGGUAAUGGGUAAAGAAGCACCGGCUAACUACGUG